This 210-nucleotide ribosomal RNA is filed under the name uncultured bacterium. Its description in RNAcentral is "partial 16S ribosomal RNA". It matches the Rfam family "Bacterial small subunit ribosomal RNA", at positions 524 to 734 of the family's 1533-position model. The record is from RNAcentral.
UACGUAGGUGGCAAGCGUUGUCCGGAUUUACUGGGCGUAAAGAGCGCGCAGGCGCCAAGUCAGUCGAAUGUGAAAGCCCCCGGCUUAACUGGGGAGGGUCAUUCGAUACUGCUCGGCUCGAAGACAGGAGAGGGAAGCGGAAUUCCCGGUGUAGUGGUGAAAUGCGUAGAUAUCGGGGAGGAACACCAGUGGCGAAGGCGCUUUCUGGCC